Long non-coding RNA from Mauremys mutica (yellowpond turtle), 474 nucleotides. RefSeq lists it as uncharacterized. Lineage: Eukaryota; Metazoa; Chordata; Testudines; Geoemydidae. The transcript is spliced from 3 exons. The record is from RefSeq and is a predicted model, not a curated record.
UACACACACACACACACACACACCUCGCUCCUAAUUUUGAAUCAUAAGGGUUAAUGUUUCUAUUUGAAAGUCUUAUUCUUCUGUUGGAGGGGCUGAGAAAGGGCAAACCAGAGACCAGUCACAAAGCCUCACAUCUUUUUAGAGACUAAAAAUAAGCCAUGAAUUAAAGACCCUGACUUCUACUUUGAAGAGGGACAAGGAAAAUUAUUUUGACAUCCUGCUCCUGAACAGAGAGCCCUGAAGUGUGCCACUAACUGCAGCAGAACAUCCAGCAUGAAAACCCAUUACAUCAAUCACAGCUAAAGACUUGUCUACACUGAGAAAUUAAUUCAGAUUAAGGUUUAAACUUGAAGAGGAUCCAUGUGAAGAUAAGGAAGGUGGUGGAGUCUGAGAAUGGCCAGGUCCUUGACUGGGAAGAGGCAUACCAACAGGCCCAGGAGAGGAGGAAAAGCCGAGCCCGUUAUAAAAACUGUG